ACUCAAAGGAAUAGACGGGGACCCGCACAAGCGGUGGAGCAUGUGGAUUAAUUCGAUACUAACCGAAGAACCUUACCCAGGCUUGACAUCGACGGUAAGCAUCAGAAAUGGUGCCCUCUUCCCACAAGGAAGACCUGAAGACAGAUGUUGCAUGGCUGUCGUCAGCUCGUGCCGUGAGGUGUUUGGUUAAGUCCAGCAACGAGCGCAACCCUCAUUUCGUGUUACUAGCAGGUAAAGCUGAGGACUCACGAAAAACUGCCGGCGUAAGCCGGAGGAAGGUGAGGAUGAUGUCAAGUCAGCAUGGCUCUUACGCCUGGGGCUUCACACAUGCUACAAUGGGCGCAACAAACGGCAGCAAUAUCGCGAGAUGGAGCUAAUCCGAAAAAUACGCCCCCAGUUCAGAUUGCAGUCUGCAACUCGACUGCAUGAAGGCGGAAUCGCUAGUAACCGCAGGUCAGCUAUACUGCGGUGAAUACGUUCCCGGGUCUUGUACACACCGCCCGU
This 504-nucleotide ribosomal RNA is filed under the name uncultured bacterium. RNAcentral's name for it is "partial 16S ribosomal RNA". It matches the Rfam family "Bacterial small subunit ribosomal RNA", at positions 899 to 1397 of the family's 1533-position model. The record is from RNAcentral.